UUCUCUGUAGCUUAACUGGUAAAGCAGCUGUUUGUCAGCAGUACAUAGAGGUUCGAAUCCUCUCAGAGACA
This 71-nucleotide transfer RNA is filed under the name Brochothrix thermosphacta. RNAcentral describes it as "tRNA-OTHER". It matches the Rfam family "tRNA". Rfam says of the family: Transfer RNA (tRNA) molecules are approximately 80 nucleotides in length. Lineage: Bacteria; Bacillati; Bacillota; Bacilli; Caryophanales; Listeriaceae. The record is from RNAcentral.